AGAUAGCAGCACACACGCCUUACAUAAAACAGAACCAACCCAGCUUAGCAACAUUCACAAGAGCUACACACUACCAAAUCGGAGGAGCUGCCCAUCAGAAUUGGGUAAGCAUGAAAUUGCUGUUUGCAACUCCUGGGUUGCUUACGUCACUGCAAAAGGACUAAAUAAAUUCUCUACCGAAAUGCUGUAUUCAUGUCUCAUCUUCUGCAUUACUCCAUAAGCCUCCCGUAUUUCCG
Long non-coding RNA from Cryptotermes secundus, 236 nucleotides. RefSeq lists it as uncharacterized. The transcript has 3 exons. The record is from RefSeq and is a predicted model, not a curated record. NCBI's taxonomy places the organism in Eukaryota, Metazoa, Arthropoda, Insecta, Blattodea, Kalotermitidae.